RNAcentral lists this ribosomal RNA (253 nucleotides) under uncultured bacterium. Its description in RNAcentral is "partial 16S ribosomal RNA". It matches the Rfam family "Bacterial small subunit ribosomal RNA", at positions 524 to 776 of the family's 1533-position model. The record is from RNAcentral.
UACGGAGGGUGCAAGCGUUGUCCGGAUUUAUUGGGUUUAAAGGGUGCGUAGGCGGUAUUAUAAGUCAGUGGUGAAAUCUUGCGGCUCAACCGUAAAACUGCCAUUGAAACUGUAGUACUGGAGUUCAUUCGAGGUGGUUGGAAUGCGUAGUGUAGCGGUGAAAUGCAUAGAUAUUACGCAGAACACCUAUUGCGAAGGCAGAUCACUGGAAUGAAACUGACGCUGAGGCACGAAAGCGUGGGGAGCGAACAGG